This 615-nucleotide ribosomal RNA is filed under the name Winogradskyella sp. Its description in RNAcentral is "bacterial SSU rRNA". It matches the Rfam family "Bacterial small subunit ribosomal RNA", at positions 61 to 672 of the family's 1533-position model. The record is from RNAcentral. Lineage: Bacteria; Pseudomonadati; Bacteroidota; Flavobacteriia; Flavobacteriales; Flavobacteriaceae.
GUCGACGGUAACAUUGAUGCUUGCAUCAGAUGACGAGUGGCGCACGGGUGAGUAACGCGUAUACAAUCUACCUUUUACAGGGGGAUAGCCUUUAGAAAUGAAGAUUAAUAUCCCAUAGUAAGUAGUUUUGGCAUCAAGACAACUUUAAAGUUUCGGCGGUAAAAGAUGAGUAUGCGUUCUAUUAGUUAGUUGGUAAGGUAACGGCUUACCAAGACCACGAUAGAUAGGGGCCCUGAGAGGGGGAUCCCCCACACUGGUACUGAGACACGGACCAGACUCCUACGGGAGGCAGCAGUGAGGAAUAUUGGACAAUGGGCGCGAGCCUGAUCCAGCCAUGCCGCGUGCAGGAAGACUGCCCUAUGGGUUGUAAACUGCUUUUAUACAGGAAGAAACCUUUUCACGUGUGAAAAGCUGACGGUACUGUAAGAAUAAGGAUCGGCUAACUCCGUGCCAGCAGCCGCGGUAAUACGGAGGAUCCAAGCGUUAUCCGGAAUCAUUGGGUUUAAAGGGUCCGUAGGUGGAUAAUUAAGUCAGGGGUGAAAGUUUGCAGCUCAACUGUAAAAUUGCCUUUGAUACUGGUUAUCUUGAAUUAUUGUGAAGUGGUUAGAAUAUGUA